UAAAGGGUGUAAUAUACAAUU
Molecule: non-coding RNA, 21 nt
Filed under: Arabidopsis thaliana (thale cress)
Lineage: Eukaryota; Viridiplantae; Streptophyta; Magnoliopsida; Brassicales; Brassicaceae
Source: RNAcentral